This is a long non-coding RNA of Harmonia axyridis, 682 nucleotides long. RefSeq lists it as uncharacterized. Lineage: Eukaryota; Metazoa; Arthropoda; Insecta; Coleoptera; Coccinellidae. The transcript has 3 exons. The record is from RefSeq and is a predicted model, not a curated record.
UAUAGUUUAUUCUGAAAUAGAUACAGUAUAAACGUUCCACACGGAGGUAUAACCUGUACGUGAUUUACAUUUUAACUGAAAAAUUACAGAAUCCAUACGUCCAAAGUAUUACAUUUCCAAACAGAAAAAAUAAACACAAAAAAAAGAAACUCUCUUUUCUAACUCUUAACAUAACUAAAUUAAACUAUCAUUCGCUUAACAUUUCAAAGGAUGGAUGUUCCAUAUAAAAAGAUUGAACGCUCAUGUGACUGGGAUGUACAUAAUAAUUUAUUGAAAUCAGGCCUCAUCAACUAGGGAUUGAUAAGCGAAGCAAAGUAAGCUCUUCCCUUUUCCAUUAUCCAAUUUUUCAUUUCUCUUUUGUACGCAUAAAAACUCUUAAUUUCCUUCAGUUUUCUAGGAAUGGUGGAAUGAAUACGGGGUGCCAGCAAGCAGCAUAUCCAGUGCGAACAGUUGAUGUGGAUUCAUGAUUCUGGAGAUGUUAUACAAACCAUCGGAUGGAAACAGAAGAGGUUUGCCGUAGAUAAUUCGUAAAAGCCACUUCUGGAUGACUUCUACCCUUUUCAUGUGCCUGUCAAUUGUUACCCCCAGGUACCUGAUAUGUUCUGCCUCAGGGAUUGAAGUAUUGUUGUCAACUUUGAGAUUGCCCAUUUGUGGAAGACCUGAACUAUAAGAUGCAAACGGU